Molecule: ribosomal RNA, 500 nt
Filed under: uncultured bacterium
Lineage: Bacteria
Description: bacterial SSU rRNA
Rfam family: Bacterial small subunit ribosomal RNA
Source: RNAcentral
UAGAGUUUGAUCCUGGCUCAGGACGAACGCUGGCGGCGCGCUUAACACAUGCAAGUCGAACGUGAAGCCCGGGCUUGCCCGGGUGGAAAGUGGCGAACGGGUGCGUAACACGUGAGCAACCUGCCCCGAAGACCGGGAUAACACCGGGAAACCGGUGCUAAUACCGGAUGCCCUCAUCAUGUCGCAUGGCGAGAUGAGGAAAUGGAUUCCGCUUCGGGAUGGGCUCGCGGCCUAUCAGCUUGUUGGUGGGGUAACGGCCUACCAAGGCGACGACGGGUAGCUGGUCUGAGAGGAUGUCCAGCCACACUGGGACUGAGACACGGCCCAGACUCCUACGGGAGGCAGCAGUGGGGAAUCUUGCGCAAUGGGCGAAAGCCUGACGCAGCGACGCCGCGUGCGGGAUGAAGGCCUUCGGGUUGUAAACCGCUUUCAGCAGGGACGAUAGUGACGGUACCUGCAGAAGAAGCCCCGGCCAACUACGUGCCAGCAGCCCCGGUCAA